AAAAUGAGUUGACAAAACAAAUAAAAACCAUUUUUUAAGGUUUUUCCUUGAUGUGAUAAUAUGUCUUCCUGUUUUAAGGCAUCAUCAUAACAAAAACAAACAUGUUUUGGUAAUGUAACUUUUAAAAAAAUAUACGAUGAUAAUAAAAAACCACCAGCAGAUACCAAAUGAUCCUUGGUUUAUACGCAAGCAUAGACACAUAUACAAGUUCUACUUACAGAAACCCUUUUAUAUUUCAAACUUGCAAUUUCUACAACAUUAUCGAGGUUUAACAUGAAGAAUUCGACAUUAGGGACACUUAAUAAAACCCGAUCUUCAAUCCUUAGCAUAGAUUCCCAUAAUCACCACAUGAUAGUUUACCAAGUCCAAACACAUAAUGAUUGGCUAUGUAUUCAUUACUUAAAUCUUCCAAUCAACAGGACAUCUUUUCCCAACAGCUAAGGGCUUGUGCUUUGUUUUAAAUAGGUUUAAUGCUGUGCAUUAUAGCAUUAUACAAUUAUAAACUUUGAAAGUUUUGCCUCUGGAUAUUACCAUGCUCAUAAUAGAAAAACUGGUGAAAUAAAAUACUUUCCAAUGAUACAAAUUUAAACCUAAUCGUGAAAUUUGCUGUGACCCGAAGAGUCCUGGAGACUAUCCACAUGAUUUUGUCAAACUUGGGGUUACCUCCACCAAAAUAGCUUUACCCAAUUUGGCUUGGCUGCCCCUUGCUUUAUAUUCUCUUUCAAUUCUUU
Molecule: unclassified non-coding RNA, 731 nt
Filed under: Hevea brasiliensis (rubber tree)
Lineage: Eukaryota; Viridiplantae; Streptophyta; Magnoliopsida; Malpighiales; Euphorbiaceae
Source: RNAcentral